Regulatory RNA element from Oenococcus oeni, 170 nucleotides. It matches the Rfam family "Lysine riboswitch aptamer". From Rfam's summary of the family: Riboswitches are metabolite binding domains within certain messenger RNAs that serve as precision sensors for their corresponding targets. Allosteric rearrangement of mRNA structure is mediated by ligand binding, and this results in modulation of gene expression. NCBI's taxonomy places the organism in Bacteria, Bacillati, Bacillota, Bacilli, Lactobacillales, Lactobacillaceae. The record is from Rfam.
CAAUAAAAUAGAGGCGCGAUCAUCACAAAAACUGCUGAGUGUGUAUUCACGAUGAAGCAGUCCUAAGGGUUAUCGCCGAAACGAGAUUAUAAAUGCAUAUAAUCUUUGUUGGGACAUGUGGAAAAACCGCAUGGACUGUCUCGGUCAAUCCGGGGAGUGCUAUUAAUUGG